GACGAACGCUGGCGGCGUGCUUAACACAUGCAAGUCGAACGGAAAGGCCCUGCUUUUGUGGGGUGCUCGAGUGGCGAACGGGUGAGUAACACGUGAGUAACCUGCCCUUGACUUUGGGAUAACUUCAGGAAACUGGGGCUAAUACCGGAUAGGAGCUCCUGCUGCAUGGUGGGGGUUGGAAAGUUUCGGCGGUUGGGGAUGGACUCGCGGCUUAUCAGCUUGUUGGUGGGGUAGUGGCUUACCAAGGCUUUGACGGGUAGCCGGCCUGAGAGGGUGACCGGCCACAUUGGGACUGAGGUACGGCCCAGACUCCUACGGGAGGCAGCAGUGGGGAAUAUUGCACAAUGGGCGGAAGCCUGAUGCAGCAACGCCGCGUGCGGGAUGACGGCCUUCGGGUUGUAAACCGCUUUCGCCUGUGACGAAGCGUGAGUGACGGUAAUGGGUAAAGAAGCACAGGCUAACUACGUG
Molecule: ribosomal RNA, 468 nt
Filed under: uncultured bacterium
Lineage: Bacteria
Description: partial 16S ribosomal RNA
Rfam family: Bacterial small subunit ribosomal RNA
Source: RNAcentral